This 77-nucleotide transfer RNA is filed under the name Chthonomonas sp. RNAcentral describes it as "tRNA-Pro". It matches the Rfam family "tRNA". From Rfam's summary of the family: Transfer RNA (tRNA) molecules are approximately 80 nucleotides in length. Their secondary structure includes four short double-helical elements and three loops (D, anti-codon, and T loops). The record is from RNAcentral. Lineage: Bacteria; Bacillati; Armatimonadota; Chthonomonadia; Chthonomonadales; Chthonomonadaceae.
CGGGGCGUGGCGCAGUUUGGUAGCGCGUCUGGUUUGGGACCAGAAGGUCGCAGGUUCGAAUCCUGUCGCCCCGACCA